UCCGAGUUGUCCCCGGCAGUCCUCUUAGAGUCCCCGGCAUUACCCGCUGGCAACUAAGAGCAGGGGUUGCGCUCGUUGCGGCACUUAAGCCAGCAUCUCACGACACGAGCUGACGACAGCCAUGCAGCACCUGUGCAAGUGCCCCGAAGGGAGACCGUGUUUCCACGGCUGUCACUUGCAUGUCAAGCCUAGGUAAGGUUCUUCGCGUUGCUUCGAAUUAAACCACAUGCUCCACCGCUUGUGCGGGCCCCCGUCAAUUCCUUUGAGUUUCAGCCUUGCGGCCGUACUCCCCAGGCGGGGUGCUUAUCGCGUUAGCUGCGGCACCGACGGGGUCGCUCCCCCCGGCACCUAGCACCCAUCGUUUACAGCGUGGACUAC
This 378-nucleotide unclassified non-coding RNA is filed under the name uncultured bacterium. RNAcentral's name for it is "contains 16S-23S intergenic spacer region". The record is from RNAcentral.